AACCCUAACUUCCAAAGCCAACCUCGUGCCUUCGUCUCUCUGUCUCUGCUCUCUCAAGCUUGGCGUCGGCAACGGACAGCCUCUCACUCUCACCUCGUCACUCUCUCGAGCUCGGCACCGGCAUCCCCUCACCCUCACCUCGUCUCUCCCCUCGUCGUCAGUUCGUCACUCUCAGUCUCUGGGUAUCUCACCGCGUCACGCUCUCGUUCUCUCACUGCGAGUCCGUGACCCUGCGUUUGCUUCGUCGGGUGGUGGUGGUGGUCGUCUUCUCAACUAGGACGGGUACGUGCCAUACCAUUCUGCCAGAAUUGAGACGUGUUUGGCUGCCUCACAUGACACUUAAAGGAAGGGGAUUGUGUUCAUGGAAAUGCUGAAUAAUUGUUUGGAACAGAUCUACAUCAAUCCCUCACAUGUCAUAAAUAUUGCAUAAGGUUGUGGUAGAUUUUUAAUUGAAAAGAUAUUUGUAUUUAGAGAUUAAUUUAUUAUCUUUUAGAUCAUUAGUUAUGUUUAAUAUUGAAUUAUUAAUGUUUGUAAAGACUUAUAUUUUAAAUUUUAAGACAUCAUUUUAAUUUAUUUAUAAAAUUUUAUUUUUUUUAGUUAUGACCGGGUUAACCGGAUGAAUCAGUGAUCCACCGGUUGAACCAGUAACCCACUGACCCGGUUAUAUGACCGGAUUGAUUACCAGUUCGGUUCUGAUAACUAUGCUUAUCAAUAUCAAAUUACAACGGGUGUAAUGUUAAUUGAAUAUAGCCAUUAUUCCAUUCCGACAUACCACUUAUCCACAACGGAAUGAGAUAUGAACCACAUUUACAUUGAGAUCAAAUGAUGGAUGGAUGGUAUAUUGCCCGGAGUACAAUUACAACUAUAUUAAAGAAACAUUUCUAUGAAAUUCUUAUAAAUCUAAAUUGGGUUCAUCAAAACUUUUAAGGUUAUCAAGAUAUAACAAUGGUUGAUGGACAAAUGAGCCAACACCACCGUGUGAAUUCAAAUUUGCUGAAGGUUGCUCCUCAAGUGGCUUUUCUCUUCUGCAGUCGUUGUAGCUUCUGCCACUUGAGGUUGCCACUUGAGGUAGAUCUGGUAUGACAAUCCAGUGAAUACCAUACAAACACAACCCCAUUGUUUUGUUGAAAGCGGAUUUCCACUCAACAGAGAAGAUACCACAAUGCUAACGAAUUUGCGAGUGGUAGUAAUGGUGGUGUUAGCCAAAGAGCCAUAUCGGCUUAUUGUCAAAAAGAUGAAGUUUUGGCCCACAGUACCACAACAACAGAAGAGAAUAAUAUCCCAUGCUGCCUCU
Non-coding RNA from Arachis ipaensis, 1294 nucleotides. The record is from RefSeq and is a predicted model, not a curated record. NCBI's taxonomy places the organism in Eukaryota, Viridiplantae, Streptophyta, Magnoliopsida, Fabales, Fabaceae.